AGUUAAAGAGUAGAUCGGAGAUACAUACAUUGAAUGAUCCAUAGAGAGAGAGAGAGAGAGAGAAUCCAACGCCAUUUCUUUUUGUUUCCAAAAACACAGAAAACAGAAAACAGAGAAAUGGCUUCGAAUCCUUCGCUCCGACCCGAGAUUGGACCCGAUGGCCUCGCUCGUGAAGCUCCCGUCUUUGCCUACACCGAAAAGAUAAUUGAGGAAGAGCAGAUUCAGUUAAAGAAAUACAUUGAAGAAAAUUAUACCAAAAUUCGUGAUGUUGAAAGAGAAUUUGCAAAUCUCUCGAUGGAGCUGAAACUCACCGCCGGGCCAAAAAAAGCAGCACUUGAACAUUUGAGAAAGAAAAUAGAAAUGUCAACGGAGAAAAUUCGUCUUGCGAAGCUGAAGGAAGAACAAGCACGAAAGGUGUGGGAAGCAGCUUCACAGGCUGUGAAGGAUGAGGAAGCAAUCAAGCAGAAGCUAUGUGAUGACUUGAGCCAAUUGGUUGAAGAAAGCAGUAGCACACAGUUUUCUAGACUGGAGGAAUUAAAAAGACGACUAGAAGCCUUGAACCCGAGUAGAUCAUCCACCUCUGUCCCUUUUGAUGGGAAAUCAGUGGGACCACCCCAAAAUACCACAGUUACAAAUGAUUCAGUUCCUCAGUCAACAGAACCACUUGCUGGAGUUACUGCAAAUGUCCCUAAUCAAGGAAAUGGUGGAAAUGUUACAGAGAUGAAUGGGCAAAAUCAACAACCUUCUACUGAGGGAGAAGGACGAGGGAGGAAGAAAAGUCAGUUCCAAGGAAGAGGAAAGGGAAUCGGGGCUGUGCCUAAGGGUAGAGGAUCUCCCGCACCUGGCUGGACUGGGGCUGGGUUUGAUGUGGAUGGUAGAACAUAGGAGCACCUCUCCAGAUUCUUUAUUAGAGCCAUAGUACAAGACUCAUUGCUUCUGAUCUCACUGGUUACUCCUUGUUUUUGAGGACUAAGCUGGGUCUAUCAAGGUCAUGUUGUUAUCUCUUCCAAGUGUUGAAAAGAUGGAGAAAAAUGGGGAAAGAAUUUUGUAGAAGUAGGAAUCUUGACGCGGCUUUGGGGUAAUUGUCCUAAUUUCCCAAAUUAUAAUUAGCUUCCUUUGCUAAUUUCACGCGGUUUGAGUGAUUUAUUUAUUUAUUAUUCUUUCACACUUCAAUUUCGGCCGUGCCUCAAAUGCAACUAAAUAUUUACAUUUUUAAGAACAUUUUUGAGAUUAGAGCAUUUCGAGAAAUACUUACCGAGUGAAAGCCCUUCUUAGGCGU
Molecule: RNA transcript, 1279 nt
Organism: Quercus robur (English oak)
Lineage: Eukaryota; Viridiplantae; Streptophyta; Magnoliopsida; Fagales; Fagaceae
Exons: 8
Source: RefSeq, a predicted model, not a curated record